UACGAACCGUCCUAACGUUGUUCGGAAUCACUGGGCUUAAAGGGCGCGUAGGCGGGUUCCCAAGUCGGUGGUGAAAUCUUUCGGCCCAACCGGAAAACAGCCGCCGAUACUGGGAGUCUUGAGGGAGGUAGGGGUCGAUGGAACUUCCGGUGGAGCGGUGAAAUGCGUAGAUAUCGGAAGGAACGCCGGUGGCGAAAGCGAUCGACUGGACCUUUUCUGACGCUGAGGCGCGAAAGCCAGGGGAGCAGACGGG
RNAcentral lists this ribosomal RNA (253 nucleotides) under uncultured bacterium. RNAcentral's name for it is "partial 16S ribosomal RNA". It matches the Rfam family "Bacterial small subunit ribosomal RNA", at positions 524 to 776 of the family's 1533-position model. The record is from RNAcentral.